RNAcentral lists this ribosomal RNA (460 nucleotides) under uncultured bacterium. RNAcentral describes it as "partial 16S ribosomal RNA". It matches the Rfam family "Bacterial small subunit ribosomal RNA", at positions 338 to 795 of the family's 1533-position model. The record is from RNAcentral.
CCUACGGGUGGCAGCAGUGAGGAAUAUUGGUCAAUGGACGAGAGUCUGAACCAGCCAAGUAGCGUGAAGGAUGACUGCCCUAUUGGUUGUAAACUUCUUUUAUAAAGGAAUAAAACGAGGCACGUGUGCCUUUUUGCAUGUACUUUAUGAAUAAGGAUCGGCUAACUCCGUGCCAGCAGCCGCGGUAAUACGGAGGAUCCGAGCGUUAUCCGGAUUUAUUGGGUGUAAAGGGAGCGUAGAUGGGUUGUUAAGUCAGUUGUGAAAGUUUGCGGCUCAACCGUAAAAUUGCAAUUGAUACUGGCAGUCGUGAGUACAGUUGAGGUAGGCAGAAUUCGUGGUGUAGCGGUGAAAUGCUUAGAUAUCACGAAGAACCCCGAUUGCGAAGGCAGCUUACUAAACUGUGACUGACACUGAUGCGCGAAAGUGUGGGUAUCAAACAGGAUUAGAUACCCGAGUAGUC